AAAUUGAAGAGUUUGAUCAUGGCUCAGAUUGAACGCUGGCGGCAGGCCUAACACAUGCAAGUCGAACGGUAACAGGAAGCAGCUUGCUGCUUCGCUGACGAGUGGCGGACGGGUGAGUAAUGUCUGGGAAACUGCCUGAUGGAGGGGGAUAACUACUGGAAACGGUGGCUAAUACCGCAUAACGUCGCAAGACCAAAGAGGGGGACCUUCGGGCCUCUUGCCAUCAGAUGUGCCCAGAUGGGAUUAGCUWGUUGGUGAGGUAACGGCUCACCAAGGCGACGAUCCCUAGCUGGUCUGAGAGGAUGACCAGCCACACUGGAACUGAGACACGGUCCAGACUCCUACGGGAGGCAGCAGUGGGGAAUAUUGCACAAUGGGCGCAAGCCUGAUGCAGCCAUGCCGCGUGUAUGAAGAAGGCCUUCGGGUUGUAAAGUACUUUCAGCGGGGAGGAAGGUGUUGUGGUUAAUAACCGCAGCAAUUGACGUUACCCGCAGAAGAAGCACCGGCUAACUCCGUGCCAGCAGCCGCGGUAAUACGGAGGGUGCAAGCGUUAAUCGGAAUUACUGGGCGUAAAGCGCACGCAGGCGGUCUGUCAAGUCGGAUGUGAAAUCCCCGGGCUCAACCUGGGAACUGCAUUCGAAACUGGCAGGCUUGAGUCUUGUAGAGGGGGGUAGAAUUCCAGGUGUAGCGGUGAAAUGCGUAGAGAUCUGGAGGAAUACCGGUGGCGAAGGCGGCCCCCUGGACAAAGACUGACGCUCAGGUGCGAAAGCGUGGGGAGCAAACAGGAUUAGAUACCCUGGUAGUCCACGCCGUAAACGAUGUCUACUUGGAGGUUGUGCCCUUGAGGCGUGGCUUCCGGAGCUAACGCGUUAAGUAGACCGCCUGGGGAGUACGGCCGCAAGGUUAAAACUCAAAUGAAUUGACGGGGGCCCGCACAAGCGGUGGAGCAUGUGGUUUAAUUCGAUGCAACGCGAAGAACCUUACCUGGUCUUGACAUCCACAGAACUUUCCAGAGAUGGACUGGUGCCUUCGGGAACUGUGAGACAGGUGCUGCAUGGCUGUCGUCAGCUCGUGUUGUGAAAUGUUGGGUUAAGUCCCGCAACGAGCGCAACCCUUAUCCUUUGUUGCCAGCGGUUAGGCCGGGAACUCAAAGGAGACUGCCAGUGAUAAACUGGAGGAAGGUGGGGAUGACGUCAAGUCAUCAUGGCCCUUACGACCAGGGCUACACACGUGCUACAAUGGCGCAUACAAAGAGAAGCGACCUCGCGAGAGCAAGCGGACCUCAUAAAGUGCGUCGUAGUCCGGAUUGGAGUCUGCAACUCGACUCCAUGAAGUCGGAAUCGCUAGUAAUCGUGGAUCAGAAUGCCACGGUGAAUACGUUCCCGGGCCUUGUACACACCGCCCGUCACACCAUGGGAGUGGGUUGCAAAAGAAGUAGGUAGCUUAACCUUCGGGAGGGCGCUUACCACUUUGUGAUUCAUGACUGGGGUGAAGUCGUAACAAGGUAACCGUAGGGGAACCUGCGGUUGGAUCACCUCCUUACCUUAAAGAA
This 1552-nucleotide ribosomal RNA is filed under the name Salmonella enterica. RNAcentral's name for it is "bacterial SSU rRNA". It matches the Rfam family "Bacterial small subunit ribosomal RNA". The record is from RNAcentral. Lineage: Bacteria; Pseudomonadati; Pseudomonadota; Gammaproteobacteria; Enterobacterales; Enterobacteriaceae.